GAGAAGACAGCCUUCAAUUCAGGAGAAGAUACCAAUUUCAAACGUGGGGCAGAAGGAGCACUGGAGUAUUUCCUGCCAACUGGAUAUAUAACCUGUAGGUAUAUCUUCUGUGGAUGGCGCCAAGUGGAUCCUGCAACCAUUUUGUUUAAAUCCAAAUCCAGCAGUGGGACAGCAAAUUUAACCUCUUCUGGCUUAUCAAUAUUUGAACUCAAAGACAUUUCAAUCCCCUCUCUGGAAAGCAUUGUGCUGAUUUCAAACUUCAACCUGUCAUCAUCAACUUGUUCGACUCUUUUCUUUUGGUACGCCUUGUACAACUCCCUCAGCUGCAGAACCAGAGUGAAAAGACUAGUCGGAUCUCUAUUAUUCCAGUCAGUAAGAGGGUUCUUCAAUGACUUUGAGUCACUAGCAUCACUGACAGCAUGAUAAGGUCGAAAAGUUUCAUCUUCCGACCCAAAUAUAACAUCUGGUGCUGCUAAUGGAUACACAGCAUUGUACAUCACAUCCCAUUUGAUGAAAUCAAGACAGAAGGGGAUUACUAACGAGAACCGAUCAAGCAAACCAGUGUUUUUGCAUCCUGAACACAUAUUUUCUACCUUAACAGAGAAUGGAGCGUGAGUGACUAUGUAAUUCAGCUGUGCAGCGAUGAGUGGAGGGACUGCGUCGAUCGCCAUGGCGGAGAAUCGUCGGAAUUUCACACGGAUUGCUUUAACAGCCGUCGGAGUUCAAUCGGUGCUUUUUUUAAUCCGGCAACGAUACGGAUGGAUACGGGCUCCGUCUGAUAAUU
RNAcentral lists this unclassified non-coding RNA (784 nucleotides) under Hevea brasiliensis (rubber tree). The record is from RNAcentral. Lineage: Eukaryota; Viridiplantae; Streptophyta; Magnoliopsida; Malpighiales; Euphorbiaceae.